This 675-nucleotide ribosomal RNA is filed under the name uncultured bacterium. Its description in RNAcentral is "bacterial SSU rRNA". It matches the Rfam family "Bacterial small subunit ribosomal RNA", at positions 28 to 704 of the family's 1533-position model. The record is from RNAcentral.
AUUGAACGCUGGCGGCAUGCUUUACACAUGCAAGUCGAACGGUAACAGGCCGCAAGGUGCUGACGAGUGGCGAACGGGUGAGUAAUGCAUCGGAACGUGCCCAGUCGUGGGGGAUAACGCAGCGAAAGCUGCGCUAAUACCGCAUACGAUCUAUGGAUGAAAGCGGGGACCGUAAGGCCUCGCGCGAUUGGAGCGGCCGAUAUCAGAUUAGGUAGUUGGUGGGGUAAAGGCUCACCAAGCCAGACGAUCUGUAGCUGGUCUGAGAGGACGACCAGCCACACUGGGACUGAGACACGGCCCAGACUCCUACGGGAGGCAGCAGUGGGGAAUUUUGGACAAUGGGGCAACCUAUCCAGCAAUGCCGCGUGCAGGAAGAAGGCCUCGGGUUGUAAACUGCUUUUUGUACGGAACGAAACGGCUCUGGUUAAUACCCGGGGCUAAUGACGGUACCGUAAGAAUAAGCACCGGCUAACUACGUGCCAGCAGCCGCGGUAAUACGUAGGGUGCGAGCGUUAAUCGGAAUUACUGGGCGUAAAGCGUGCGCAGGCGGUGCUGUAAGACAGGCGUGAAAUCCCGGGCUCAACCUGGGAAUGGCGCUUGUGACUGCAGUGCUGGAGUGCGGCAGAGGGGGAUGGAAUUCCGCGUGUAGCAGUGAAAUGCGUAGAUAUGCGGAGG